This 80-nucleotide ribosomal RNA is filed under the name Escherichia coli 99.0815. RNAcentral also lists the same sequence under 3 other names. The record is from RNAcentral. Lineage: Bacteria; Pseudomonadati; Pseudomonadota; Gammaproteobacteria; Enterobacterales; Enterobacteriaceae.
UGCCGAACUCAGAAGUGAAACGCCGUAGCGCCGAUGGUAGUGUGGGGUCUCCCCAUGCGAGAGUAGGGAACUGCCAGGCA